This is a small nucleolar RNA of Schizosaccharomyces osmophilus, 64 nucleotides long. Lineage: Eukaryota; Fungi; Ascomycota; Schizosaccharomycetes; Schizosaccharomycetales; Schizosaccharomycetaceae. The record is from RefSeq and is a predicted model, not a curated record.
AAUAUUUGCUACUUCGGAGGUCCUUUCGGGCUCGAUGAGACAAAACAUUCACCUUAGUUGCUGA